GCAAAACUGACAGACCAUACCUCCACUUGCCCGGAUGUAGUGGUGGUAGACACUCCAUCCCAGGGACCCUUCUUCCAUCUUCUCCUUCUUUGUGAGCUGAUUUUCCAGCACUGGGUGAGAGUAAGAGAAGAAAGAAAUGAUAUGACUUUCAAUCGCUUGCGUGUCUCUCAAGGUCAAGAAGAGCUUUUACAAAGCGUUCUUCCCCUGGCUUCCAUGUUUUACCAGCUUCCUCACCUUCCAGCUUCUGUGCCCUACCCAAGCCCGACUCUAACCAGCAUGCUUCCAUGGAAGACUCUGCUGAAGCUUAAAACGCUCUUGGUGACAGGAGGCUCCACUAUGUCGGGCGUUAUCCUGAGGCCUCCCUACACCCGACUGCAUCUUACCUCCAUGACAACACUGCAAAAUUUUCCCAUCUUCUAAGAAAAUGAUCUGGUCACAAAAUGCUAAAUACUGAAGAGUCAGAAGAAAUAAGGCCUUCA
Molecule: non-coding RNA, 479 nt
Organism: Leptonychotes weddellii (Weddell seal)
Lineage: Eukaryota; Metazoa; Chordata; Mammalia; Carnivora; Phocidae
Source: RefSeq, a predicted model, not a curated record